UACGUAGGUGGCAAGCGUUGUCCGGAUUUAUUGGGUUUAAAGGGUGCGUAGGCGGUCUAUUAAGUCAGUGGUGAAAUACUCCAGCUUAACUGGAGGGGUGCCAUUGAUACUGAUGGACUUGAGUCAAGUCGAGGUAGGCGGAAUUGACGGUGUAGCGGUGAAAUGCUUAGAUAUCGUCAAGAACACCAAUAGUGAAGACAGCUUACUGGGCUUAAACUGACACUGAGGCACGAAAGUGUGGGGAUCAAACAGG
Molecule: ribosomal RNA, 253 nt
Filed under: uncultured bacterium
Lineage: Bacteria
Description: partial 16S ribosomal RNA
Rfam family: Bacterial small subunit ribosomal RNA
Source: RNAcentral